GCGCAGCAGUCGCGAAACUUCACAAUGUGCGAAAGCACGAUGAGGGAAUCCCAAGUGCUUGCUCGUAAGAGUAAGCUGUUUCUCUGUCUAAAACGCAGAGAGAGUAAGGGCUGGGUAAGACGGGUGCCAGCCGCCGCGGUAAUACCUGCAGCUCGAGUGGUGGCCGCUAUUAUUGGGCCUAAAACGUCCGUAGCCGGUUUAUUAAAUGCCUGGGUAAAUCGGACCGCUUAACGGUUCGAAUUCCGGGUAGACUGAUAAACUUGAGACCGGGAGAAGCUAGAGGUACUCCUGGGGUAGAGGUGAAAUUCUGUAAUCCUAGGGGGACCACCAGUGGCGAAGGCGUCUAGCUAGAACGGGUCUGACGGUGAGGGACGAAGCCCUGGGGCGCAAACGGGGAUUAGAUACCCCCGGUAGU
RNAcentral lists this ribosomal RNA (415 nucleotides) under uncultured microorganism. RNAcentral's name for it is "bacterial SSU rRNA". It matches the Rfam family "Archaeal small subunit ribosomal RNA", at positions 330 to 745 of the family's 1478-position model. The record is from RNAcentral.